CCUACGGGAGGCAGCAGUGGGGAAUAUUGCACAAUGGGGGAAACCCUGAUGCAGCGACGCCGCGUGAGUGAAGAAGUAUCUCGGUACGUAAAGCUCUAUCAGCAGGGAAGAAAAUGACGGUACCUGACUAAGAAGCCCCGGCUAACUACGUGCCAGCAGCCGCGGUAAUUCGUAGGGGGCAAGCGUUAUCCGGAUUUACUGGGUGGAAAGGGAGCGAAGACGGAAGCACAAGUCUGGAGUGAAAUCCCGGGGCUUAACCCCGGAACUGCUUUGGAAACUGUGCGGCGGGAGUGCAGGAGGGGGAAGCGGAAUUCCUGGUGUAGCGGUGAAAUGCGUAGAUAUUAGGAGGAACACCGGUGGCGAAGGCGGCUUACUGGACUGUAACGGACGUUGAGGCCCGAAAGCGUGGGGAGCAAACAGGAUUAGAUACCCCGGUAGUC
RNAcentral lists this ribosomal RNA (440 nucleotides) under uncultured bacterium. RNAcentral's name for it is "partial 16S ribosomal RNA". It matches the Rfam family "Bacterial small subunit ribosomal RNA", at positions 338 to 795 of the family's 1533-position model. The record is from RNAcentral.